RNAcentral lists this ribosomal RNA (491 nucleotides) under uncultured bacterium. RNAcentral describes it as "partial 16S ribosomal RNA". It matches the Rfam family "Bacterial small subunit ribosomal RNA", at positions 29 to 507 of the family's 1533-position model. The record is from RNAcentral.
GUGAACGCUGGCGGUAGGCCUAACACAUGCAAGUCGAACGGCAGCACAGUAAGCGCUUGCUCUUACGGGUGGCGAGUGGCGGACGGGUGAGGAAUACAUCGGAAUCUACUUUUUCGUGGGGGAUAACGUAGGGAAACUUACGCUAAUACCGCAUACGACCUACGGGUGAAAGCAGGGGAUCUUCGGACCUUGCGCGAUUGAAUGAGCCGAUGUCGGAUUAGCUAGUUGGCGGGGUAAAGGCCCACCAAGGCGACGAUCCGUAGCUGGUCUGAGAGGAUGAUCAGCCACACUGGAACUGAGACACGGUCCAGACUCCUACGGGAGGCAGCAGUGGGGAAUAUUGGACAAUGGGCGCAAGCCUGAUCCAGCCAUACCGCGUGGGUGAAGAAGGCCUUCGGGUUGUAAAGCCCUUUUGUUGGGAAAGAAAAGCAGCAGGUUAAUACCCCGCUGUUCCGACGGUACCCAAAGAAUAAGCACCGGCUAACUUCGUG